UACGUAGGGGGCAAGCGUUAUCCGGAAUUACUGGGUGUAAAGGGAGCGUAGACGGUGAUGCAAGUCUGGAGUGAAAGGCGGGGGCCCAACCCCCGGACUGCUCUGGAAACUGUGUAACUUGAGUGCAGGAGAGGUAAGCGGAAUUCCUAGUGUAGCGGUGAAAUGCGUAGAUAUAACUUAGAACACCGAUAGCGAAGGCAGCUUACCAGACUGAGUCUGACGCUGAUGCACGAGAGCAUGGGUAGCGAACAGG
This 253-nucleotide ribosomal RNA is filed under the name uncultured Eubacteriales bacterium. RNAcentral's name for it is "uncultured Clostridiales bacterium partial 16S ribosomal RNA". It matches the Rfam family "Bacterial small subunit ribosomal RNA", at positions 524 to 776 of the family's 1533-position model. The record is from RNAcentral. Lineage: Bacteria; Bacillati; Bacillota; Clostridia; Eubacteriales.